GAGGGUAUAGCUUAGUGGUAGUCUGCGUGCUUGGCAUGCACGAGGUCCUGGGUUCAGUCCUCAGUACCUCCA
Molecule: transfer RNA, 72 nt
Filed under: Camelus bactrianus (Bactrian camel)
Lineage: Eukaryota; Metazoa; Chordata; Mammalia; Artiodactyla; Camelidae
Also listed under: 2 other names
Rfam family: tRNA
About the family: Transfer RNA (tRNA) molecules are approximately 80 nucleotides in length.
Source: Rfam by way of RNAcentral